AUGUAUUUCAACAAAAAAGAACCGAUGGGAAAUUGAUCAAUAAAUAGAUGGUGUAAA
Molecule: non-coding RNA, 57 nt
Filed under: Trypanosoma lewisi
Lineage: Eukaryota; Euglenozoa; Kinetoplastea; Trypanosomatida; Trypanosomatidae
Source: RNAcentral